UAUUUUAAGUAACGCUUUUAGCUUAAUCCACAUAACUGAUACUACGUAUCGACUUUGUGMGCAUUUUGCUAUUAUGUGUUCUUUUAAUUAAAAUGAUUCUUUUUAAGGUCUUUUUUUUGCUUCGGUAAUUAAAGAUCUUGUUACUUUGAGUAAAUUAGAGUGUUCAAAGCAAACAGAUAUAGCAUUGCGCGUUUGAAUACUACAGCAUGGAAUAACAAAAUUGAACAAGUCAGAAUUUUGUUCUUUUUUCUUAUUUUGGCUUAGUUACGAUUAAUAGGAGUAGCUUGGGGGCAUUUGUAUUCAGAUGUCAGAGGUGAAAUUCUUAGAUUUUCUGGAGACAAACAACUGCGAAAGCAUUUGCCUAAAAUACUUCCAUUAAUCAAGAACGAAAGUUAAGGGAGUGAAGACGAUCAGAUACCGUCGUAAUCUUAACCAUAAACUAUGCCGACUAGGCUUUGGAUGAAAGAUUUUAAAAUAAGAGUUUUUCUCUUCGGAGUGAAACUCUUAGAUUGCUUCCUUCAGUGCCUUAUGAGAAAUCAAAGUCUUUGGGUUCUGGGGCGAGUAUUCGCGCAAGCGAGAAAGUUAAAAGAAUUGACGGAAGGGCACCACCAGGCGUGGAGCUUGCGGCUUAAUUUGACUCAACACGGGAAAACUCACUAGUUUAAGACAAGAGUAGGAUUGACAGAUUAAUAGCUCUUUCUUGAUUUCUUGGAUGGUGAUGCAUGGCCGUUUUUAGUUCGUGAAUAUGAUUUGUCUGGUUAAUUCCGAUAACGAACGAGAUCUUAACCUGCUAAUUAGCGGCAAAUACGAUAUAUUCUUAUGUGGGAUUGAAUACGGUUGAUUUGCUUAUUUUGAAGAGAAUAUUGGAAUGCGUAAAGUGUUCCUUUCCCUUCUCUACUUAAUUCGCUUAUUAUACUGUUUCUUUUUCGCGUAAGAAUGUAUUUGCUUGAUUGUAAAGCUUCUUA
Molecule: ribosomal RNA, 965 nt
Filed under: Plasmodium fieldi
Lineage: Eukaryota; Apicomplexa; Aconoidasida; Haemosporida; Plasmodiidae
Description: SSU rRNA
Rfam family: Eukaryotic small subunit ribosomal RNA
Source: RNAcentral